CCUACGGGAGGCUGCAGUGGGGAAUAUUGGACAAUGGGCGAAAGCCUGAUCCAGCCAUGCCGCGUGUGUGAAGAAGGCCUUCGGGUUGUAAAGCACUUUCAGUGGGGAAGAAAGCCUUGGGGCUAAUACCCUCGAGGAAGGACAUCACCCACAGAAGAAGUACCGGCUAACUCCGUGCCAGCAGCCGCGGUAAUACGGAGGGUGCGAGCGUUAAUCGGAAUUACUGGGCGUAUAGCGCGCGUAGGCGGUCUGAUAAGCCGGUUGUGAAAGCCCCGGGCUCAACCUGGGAACGGCAUCCGGAACUGUCAGGCUAGAGUGCAGGAGAGGAAGGUAGAAUUCCCGGUGUAGCGGUGAAAUGCGUAGAGAUCGGGAGGAAUACCAGUGGCGAAGGCGGCCUUCUGGACUGACACUGACGCUGAGGUGCGAAAGCGUGGGUAGCAAACAGGAUUAGAUACCCAGUAGUC
Molecule: ribosomal RNA, 464 nt
Filed under: Vreelandella stevensii
Lineage: Bacteria; Pseudomonadati; Pseudomonadota; Gammaproteobacteria; Oceanospirillales; Halomonadaceae
Description: partial 16S ribosomal RNA
Rfam family: Bacterial small subunit ribosomal RNA
Source: RNAcentral